Molecule: ribosomal RNA, 429 nt
Filed under: Pseudomonadota bacterium
Lineage: Bacteria; Pseudomonadati; Pseudomonadota
Description: Proteobacteria bacterium partial 16S ribosomal RNA
Rfam family: Bacterial small subunit ribosomal RNA
Source: RNAcentral
UGGGGAAUAUUGGACAAUGGGCGAAAGCCUGAUCCAGCCAUGCCGCGUGUGUGAAGAAGGUCUUCGGAUUGUAAAGCACUUUAAGUUGGGAGGAAGGGCAGUAAGCGAAUACCUUGCUGUUUUGACGUUACCGACAGAAUAAGCACCGGCUAACUCUGUGCCAGCAGCCGCGGUAAUACAGAGGGUGCAAGCGUUAAUCGGAAUUACUGGGCGUAAAGCGCGCGUAGGUGGUUCGUUAAGUUGAAUGUGAAAGCCCCGGGCUCAACCUGGGAACUGCAUCCAAAACUGGCGAGCUAGAGUAGGGCAGAGGGUGGUGGAAUUUCAUGUGUAGCGGUGAAAUGCGUAGAUAUAGGAAGGAACACCAGUGGCGAAGGCGACCACCUGGGCUCAUACUGACACUGAGGUGCGAAAGCGUGGGGAGCAAACAGG